Molecule: ribosomal RNA, 198 nt
Filed under: uncultured bacterium
Lineage: Bacteria
Description: partial 16S ribosomal RNA
Rfam family: Bacterial small subunit ribosomal RNA
Source: RNAcentral
ACGCUCGACACCUACGGGGGGCAGCAGUGGGGAAUAUUGCACAAUGGAGGAAACUCUGAUGCAGCGAUGCCGCGUGAGGGAAGAAGGUUUUCGGAUUGUAAACCUCUGUCUUUGGGGACGAUAAUGACGGUACCCAAGGAGGAAGCUCCGGCUAACUACGUGCAAGCGGCCGCGGUAAUCUGAGCGGGCUGGCAAGGC